CAGUCGCCGCGGGAAUACGAAGGGGGCUAGCGUUGUUCGGAAUUACUGGGCGUAAAGCGCACGUAGGCGGAUACUUAAGUUAGGGGUGAAAUCCCAGGGCUCAACCCUGGAACUGCCUUUAAUACUGGGUAUCUUGAGUUCGAGAGAGGUAAGUGGAAUUCCGAGUGUAGAGGUGAAAUUCGUAGAUAUUCGGAGGAACACCAGUGGCGAAGGCGGCUUACUGGCUCGAUACUGACGCUGAGGUGCGAAAGCGUGGGGAGCAAACAGGAUUAGAUACCCGCGUAGUCCCUGUCUCUUAUAC
RNAcentral lists this ribosomal RNA (301 nucleotides) under uncultured bacterium. RNAcentral's name for it is "partial 16S ribosomal RNA". It matches the Rfam family "Bacterial small subunit ribosomal RNA", at positions 509 to 807 of the family's 1533-position model. The record is from RNAcentral.